This 122-nucleotide long non-coding RNA is filed under the name Dasypus novemcinctus (nine-banded armadillo). RNAcentral's name for it is "lncRNA (ENSDNOG00000052596.1)". The record is from RNAcentral. Lineage: Eukaryota; Metazoa; Chordata; Mammalia; Cingulata; Dasypodidae.
CAAGGAAGCAAGGUGAAGGCUGGAAGGCAAGAGUCUGACUUCUGUUCUUUGUACUGUUAAUCAAAGCUGUGUUUUCUAAUGUCACAGGCUAUGAACCCAGCUUUUUGUGUUCAGUCCAGAGA